GCAUACGUCCUACGGGAGAAAGCAGGGGACCUUCGGGCCUUGCGCUAUCAGAUGAGCCUAGGUCGGAUUAGCUAGUUGGUGAGGUAAUGGCUCACCAAGGCUACGAUCCGUAACUGGUCUGAGAGGAUGAUCAGUCACACUGGAACUGAGACACGGUCCAGACUCCUACGGGAGGCAGCAGUGGGGAAUAUUGGACAAUGGGCGAAAGCCUGAUCCAGCCAUGCCGCGUGUGUGAAGAAGGUCUUCGGAUUGUAAAGCACUUUAAGUUGGGAGGAAGGGCUGUUACCUAAUACGUGAUGGUUUUGACGUUACCGACAGAAUAAGCACCGGCUAACUCUGUGCCAGCAGCCGCGGUAAUACAGAGGGUGCAAGCGUUAAUCGGAAUUACUGGGCGUAAAGCGCGCGUAGGUGGUUCGUUAAGUUGGAUGUGAAAUCCCCGGGCUCAACCUGGGAACUGCAUUCAAAACUGUCGAGCUAGAGUAUGGUAGAGGGUGGUGGAAUUUCCUGUGUAGCGGUGAAAUGCGUAGAUAUAGGAAGGAACACCAGUGGCGAAGGCGACCAC
This 562-nucleotide ribosomal RNA is filed under the name Pseudomonas sp. 15T-2. Its description in RNAcentral is "bacterial SSU rRNA". It matches the Rfam family "Bacterial small subunit ribosomal RNA", at positions 171 to 728 of the family's 1533-position model. The record is from RNAcentral. Lineage: Bacteria; Pseudomonadati; Pseudomonadota; Gammaproteobacteria; Pseudomonadales; Pseudomonadaceae.